RNAcentral lists this non-coding RNA (40 nucleotides) under Trypanosoma brucei brucei. Lineage: Eukaryota; Euglenozoa; Kinetoplastea; Trypanosomatida; Trypanosomatidae. The record is from RNAcentral.
AUACGCAUAUUGAAUAAACGUGAAAGUAGAUGAUUAAUUA